CCUAAUUAACUCUUAUAGUUAGAAUUGUCAAUCAAAUGGCAAGAACAUGUAAAAAACUUGAAGUCUCUAGAAUCUUAAAUCUUUCCUUCUUCAUUUACAUUUUUAUCUUUUCCUAUUAAAUGUGCUCACUAAUUGAACAUUUAUCUCAUGUCAACUUUGUGUCAGGCACUGGCGAGACCAAGAGGAAUAACAUGGUCCCCACCCUCAAGGGAUCCUCAGUCCAAAGUUAUCUUGUGAUUGGUGCCACAGUGAGGUAUUUACGCAAUAUAUUGGCGACACAGGAGAGAAUGACUAAGUCUUGACAGAGGAGACCAGAUGUUUGCAUUAAAUUUUGAAGAAUGAGCAGGAAUUCACCAGCCGAAGGCACAGAUCCUGGAGAAGCAUGUUGUACUCAGAAAGCUGCAAACACUUCAUUAUCACCGGAACAUAGUGGGGGACCAAUAAAAUAAGAACACCUGCUACAAUUUAUUGCAAGCAAAGUAUUAAGUAAUUUCUAAAUGUUUUAUAGACAUCGUCUCCAUCAGUCUUUACAACAACCUGUGAGGUAGGUAUUAUUAGCCCCAUUUUACAGAUGGAGAUGACUUAGUCGCUGAAUAGUGAUAAGCGGCAGAACGUGUAUUUGAACCCAGGUCCACCUGGCUGCAUAGCUGGUGCCCCUAAUCAUCAUGUUUUACUACUGGAUGCAAAGGAGAGCAUUACGGGAGCUGAGCUUCUGGAAGACUCCUGCAUUCCUUGGCUCCUGGCUCCACAUUACUCCAACUUCUGCUUCUGUCAUCAUAUUUCUUUCUCAGACUUGGACCUUUCUGCCCCAUUCUUACAAGGACGCUUAUGAUUACACUGGACACACUCUGAUAAUCCAGGAUAAUCUCCCCAUCUCAAGAUCCUUGACAUCACAUCUGUAAAGUCUCUUUUGCCAUAGACUCGUGGUACAUAUCUGCAAAUUCAGACCCUGGGACACACUCCAGCAAGAAACACUGUUUCAUUUGGCUUAAUCCAGUAUUUCAUAAGCCUAUUUAAUCAUGGAACUGUUUUGAGUCUCUCCUACAAAGAAUCUCCUAUGAAGAAAUGUUUGAGAGAUGCUGCAUUUAGUUCCCUCCCCACUUCCAGGGACUGUAAGCUUUCUUUUAUUUAGCUUUUACCCUGCCUUUUUCAAUUAUAACAAAUGCCAAAGUAGUACCAGAGUUUUUGUUCUUCUGGGUGUUAGUUCUAUUGCAUAGUAAAAGUAGACUGCUUGGGAUUGGGUCCUGAAUCCAUUACUGUACUUACUAGCCACAUAACUUUGGGCAAAUUAACUUAUCUGUGCCUCAGUUUCCAUAGAUGUAAAAUGAAGAUAAUAAUAGUACUUUCCUCAAUAGGGCUGCUGUGAUAAUUUGAGGAUCUCAUGCAUAAAAAAUUUGUCCAGCUUCAGCUGAAAUAAGUCAUCGUGUUCUUUUUUGAAUCAGACCGCUGUACAACAACAUCAGACUUUAGGACAGAUGUACACAGGUAAUACACUGCCUAUAUCAAUACGAGAAAUGUGUUGACCAAAUGUUUUUAUCUCUCGCUUCUAAAUCUGUGUAACAUUUUAUGCCAAUUCCUUUCGCAACCUUAUUAGUGCUAAUGCCAUAAUAGGAAAACUCAAUGUUGAUAGUACCAUUUAAAAUAUAGUCAUAUAUGUUUAAUAUAUUUCAGCCAUUAUCCAUCAAAUACCCCUGAAAGAAAAGUUAUUAGAGAGGUAUAAACCUCAUGUUAGCCAAUCAUUUAUUCUAAGCACUUAAGAGUUCUCUAGUUCAUCAGUUCUCAUUAUGUUUGGGAGAGCCGUGCAUGGUGCGGUAGGAAUCAGCAUUAAUCCCAUUUUCUAAAUAAGGUCUUCAAGGCAUAUGGAAAUUUUAUUUUUAUAUUUUUGCCAGCGGAAGCCAAAAGACACAGGCUAGUUACCAGGGUGGAGGAACACAAGAUGAG
Molecule: long non-coding RNA, 1941 nt
Filed under: Equus asinus (donkey)
Lineage: Eukaryota; Metazoa; Chordata; Mammalia; Perissodactyla; Equidae
Description: lncRNA (ENSEASG00005037261.1)
Source: RNAcentral